AACGAACGCUGGCGGCAGGCCUAACACAUGCAAGUCGAGCGAGGACUUCGGUUCUAGCGGCGGACGGGUGUGUAACGCGUGGGAAUGUGCCCUUCUCUACGGCAUAGCCCUGGGAAACUGGGAGUAAUACCGUAUACGCCCUUUUGGGGAAAGAUUUAUCGGAGAAGGAUCAGCCCGCGUUGGAUUAGGUAGUUGGUGGGGUAAUGGCCUACCAAGCCGACGAUCCAUAGCUGGGUUGAGAGGAUGAUCAGCCACACUGGGACUGGGACACGGCCCAGACUCCUACGGGAGGCAGCAGUGGGGAAUCUUAGACAAUGGCGGCAACCCUGAUCUAGCCAUGCCGCGUGAGUGAUGAAGGCCUUAGGGUUGUAAAGCUCUUUCAGCUGGGAAGAUAAUGACGGUACCAGCAGAAGAAGCCCCGGCUAACUCCGUG
This 433-nucleotide ribosomal RNA is filed under the name uncultured bacterium. Its description in RNAcentral is "partial 16S ribosomal RNA". It matches the Rfam family "Bacterial small subunit ribosomal RNA", at positions 29 to 507 of the family's 1533-position model. The record is from RNAcentral.